This 301-nucleotide ribosomal RNA is filed under the name uncultured bacterium. RNAcentral describes it as "partial 16S ribosomal RNA". It matches the Rfam family "Bacterial small subunit ribosomal RNA", at positions 509 to 809 of the family's 1533-position model. The record is from RNAcentral.
CAGUCGCCGCGGUAAUACGAAGGGUGCAAGCGUUACUCGGAAUUACUGGGCGUAAAGCGUGCGUAGGUGGUGGUUUAAGUCCGUUGUGAAAGCCCUGGGCUCAACCUGGGAAUUGCAGUGGAUACUGGGUCACUAGAGUGUGGUAGAGGAUAGUGGAAUUUCCGGUGUAGCAGUGAAAUGCGUAGAGAUCGGAAGGAACAUCUGUGGCGAAGGCGACUAUCUGGGCCAACACUGACACUGAGGCACGAAAGCGUGGGGAGCAAACAGGAUUAGAUACCCGCGUAUCCCUGUCUCUUAUACA